UUCCUUCCUUCCUUUCCUUCCUUUCCUUCCUUCCUUCCUUCCUUCCUUCCUUCCUUCCUUCCUUCCUUCCUUCCUUCCUUCCUUCCUUCCUUCCUUUCUUUCUUUCUUUCUUUCUUUCUUUCUUUCUUUCUUUCUUUCUUUCUUUCUUUCUUUCUUUCUUUCUUUCUUUCUUUCUUUCUUUCUUUCUUUCUUUCUUUCUUUCUUUCUUUCUUUCUUUCUUUCUUUCUUUCUUUCUUUCUUUCUUUCUUUCUUUCUUUCUUUCUUUCUUCUUCCUUCCUUCCUUCCUUCCUUCCUUCCUUCCUUCCUUCCUUCCUUCCUUCCUUCCUUCCUUCCUUCCUUCCUUCCUUCCUACCUUCCUUCCUUCCUUCCUUCCUUCCUUUUUAAAAUUCGUAUCUUCUGCCUUAGAAUCAAUGCUUAAUACGGAGGCAAAGACAAAAGAGUGGUAAAGGCUAGGCAAUUGGAGUUAAAUAACUUGCUCAGGGUCAUAAAGUUCUGAAGUGUUUGAGACCAGACUUGAAUCCUGGACCUCCCAUCUUCAGCCUAGUUCUCUAAUCAUUAAGCCAGCUGGAUGCCCCAUAUGAUCAUUUUAAAAUUAUUAAACAAAGGAGUUUUUGCAAGAUGGUUGUUGUUCAGUCAUUUCAGUUGCGUCUAAUUCAUCAUGACUCUAUUAGGGAUUUUCUUGGCAAAGAUACUUGGAGUGGUUUGCCAUUUCCUUCUCCUACUCAUUUUAUAGCUAUGGAAAUGGAGGCAAAGAUGGUUAGGUGAAUUUCCUAGGGUCACACAGUAAUUGUCUCAGACCAAAUUUUAACUCAGGGAGAUAAGUCUUCCUGACUCCAGGCCUGCCACUCUAUCUACUGUGCCGCCCAACUGGAUAAUGUUGCCUGGUAGUAACUGCCAAAGAGACUGUACUUUUUAAAGCUCCUAUAUUUGGGUGAAAUGGUAAAAUCCAGACAACCUUCUCAAAAAUUAUGGGGAUAAAGGUUGUUGGAAUGACCUGCUCCCAGUCCAAAUGAUGGCCUAUUUUAACUUAUCCUUGGUGAGUUAUACUGUAUAGUUGAAUUCUUAUGCUACAAUUCAAACCUAAUCUUUUCUUUCUGAUUCCACUCUUCUAGCCAAGUAGUUCAUUUCCCUCUAAGGGCUUUAAAGGCCAAAUUUUUAUUCUUGUCAAAACUACCUGUGGAAAUGGAUAAAAUAGAUUUGACUAUGGAUCGUCUCUCAAGCAAGGCCUUCUGGGAAUGGGCCUGUUCCAUUUCCCAUUUCAACGGUCAAGGCAAUUGGAAUCAGUCAGAAUGCACAUCCUUGCAUUCUAUUCCCCUGGAAAGAGAAAAAAAAUUGCCCCAGGUGGGAAGAGAAAAGGAAAGCAAAGGAUAAAGAGGAUAUUAAAAAUUCAGAAGAAUGCUGAAGUACUGUAACUGGUGGUAUGUAGUAGAAAAGGCACUGGACUAGCAGUCAGAAGCCCCAGGUCGGCGAUCCAACUCUGCUAUUUGCAUGCCCCCAAAAUCUCUCCUACUCUGUGGGUAGUUUCUGCUCCAAUCAUGGAUUGAAUUAUACCAGCGAUACACUUGAGUGAUUUUAAAUCUGAACUGAAAUGUAAACACAUGCAGACCUCUUUUCCAUGGUGUGGAAUCCUAUGGUAGGCAAAUUGUUUAACUUCCACAUACCCUGUCUGGCCCUAAUUGAUUCUUCUAACCCAACUGUGCAUUUUAACAUGUUCCAAGUUAGAGAAAUCUACCAGCACUAAUUCGACACGGCAACUGCUUAUGGGCCUUUUAAUGUGCAAAAGGGGAUCAAUCUAAUUUCUCAAGUUAGCUAGGGAAUAAGUUAAGUGUAACCUGAUUGAUAUUGGGGGAGAGAAGGCGAGAGAUGAAGUAGGAAUAGGCACAUAUAACCAUUAGGGCUGGAAAGGGCUGGUUUGGAUUCUGUAAGAAUCUAGUCCCAUUGGAGACUCUCUGUCCUGCCCCCCCCCCCAAAAAAAAAGGCAUC
Molecule: non-coding RNA, 1983 nt
Organism: Monodelphis domestica (gray short-tailed opossum)
Lineage: Eukaryota; Metazoa; Chordata; Mammalia; Didelphimorphia; Didelphidae
Source: RefSeq, a predicted model, not a curated record